This 253-nucleotide ribosomal RNA is filed under the name uncultured bacterium. RNAcentral describes it as "partial 16S ribosomal RNA". It matches the Rfam family "Bacterial small subunit ribosomal RNA", at positions 524 to 776 of the family's 1533-position model. The record is from RNAcentral.
UACGAAGGGGGCUAGCGUUGCUCGGAAUGACUGGGCGUAAAGGGCGCGUAGGCGGUUUGUACAGUCAGGUGUGAAAUCCCCGGGCUCAACCCGGGAACUGCGUCCGAUACUGGCAGGCUUGAAUCCGGGAGAGGGAUGCGGAAUUCCAGGUGUAGCGGUGAAAUGCGUAGAUAUCUGGAGGAACACCGGUGGCGAAGGCGGCAUCCUGGACCGGUAUUGACGCUGAGGCGCGAAAGCCAGGGGAGCAAACGGG